CGGACGGGUGAGUAAUGUCUGGGAAACUGCCUGAUGGAGGGGGAUAACUACUGGAAACGGUAGCUAAUACCGCAUAACGUCGCAAGACCAAAGAGGGGGACCUUAGGGCCUCUUGCCAUCGGAUGUGCCCAGAUGGGAUUAGCUAGUAGGUGGGGUAACGGCUCACCAAGGCCACGAUCCCUAGCUGGUCUGAGAGGAUGACCAGCCACACUGGAACUGAGACACGGUCCAG
Molecule: ribosomal RNA, 232 nt
Filed under: uncultured bacterium
Lineage: Bacteria
Description: partial 16S ribosomal RNA
Rfam family: Bacterial small subunit ribosomal RNA
Source: RNAcentral